CCUACGGGAGGCAGCAGUGGGGAAUAUUGGGCAAUGGGCGCAAGCCUGACCCAGCAACGCCGCGUGAAGGAAGAAGGCUUUCGGGUUGUAAACUUCUUUUGACAGGGAAGAGUAGAAGACGGUACCUGUCGAAUAAGCCACGGCUAACUACGUGCCAGCAGCCGCGGUAAUACGUAGGUGGCAAGCGUUAUCCGGAUUACUGGGUGUAAAGGGCGUGUAGGCGGGACUGCAAGUCAGAUGUGAAAACCAUGGGCUCAACCUAUGGCCUGCAUUUGAAACUGUAGUUCUUGAGUACUGGAGAGGCAGACGGAAUUCGUAGUGUAGCGGUGAAAUGCGUAGAUAUUAGGAGGAACACCAGUGGCGAAGGCGGUCUGCUGGACAGCAACUGACGCUGAGGCGCGAAAGCGUGGGGAGCAAACAGGAUUAGAUACCCUAGUAGUC
RNAcentral lists this ribosomal RNA (441 nucleotides) under uncultured bacterium. Its description in RNAcentral is "partial 16S ribosomal RNA". It matches the Rfam family "Bacterial small subunit ribosomal RNA", at positions 338 to 795 of the family's 1533-position model. The record is from RNAcentral.